RNAcentral lists this transfer-messenger RNA (66 nucleotides) under Veillonella sp. Its description in RNAcentral is "partial transfer-messenger RNA". It matches the Rfam family "transfer-messenger RNA", at positions 308 to 374 of the family's 374-position model. From Rfam's summary of the family: Bacterial tmRNA, also known as 10Sa RNA or SsrA, is named for its dual tRNA and mRNA-like properties. Its role is to liberate the mRNA from a stalled ribosome. Lineage: Bacteria; Bacillati; Bacillota; Negativicutes; Veillonellales; Veillonellaceae. The record is from RNAcentral.
CUGUGCUCGGAGAAGUCUAUAUGGCAACACUUCUGGACAGGGGUUCGACUCCCCUCAUCUCCACCA